UACAACCCGGGCGCUCGAUUUACCUACGCGCCGUGAUUCGCGGUUUCCCUCGAUCGUUUGCGUCGACCCCCACGGUUUGGAGAACGCGCGACUUCGGUUUCACGAGGUUCCUUUGCCGGGUCGGGAGUGCGGGCUUGCCUCGGUAUUGCGUUCGAUCGCGACCAAUCUUCGAUAUAUCGGUUAAUUGUAUAUUCGUAUUCAAUGCAUUAUUUCGAAAGUAUAAAUGAAUCGUGUGAGCGGAUCUGUUGGCCAAGAUGUUGUGUAUGUUAGUAAUUGUGUAACGUGUGGAUCAGAGCUUGAUCUUUUUUUGGCAAUCCCCUCGCCGACUAGCUGCUGCUGGUGGUCCGCAAUGGCGAAAGGGGAUGGAAGAAAACUCGGGGGACGGAAGGGUGGCUGAAUCGGACGGGGGUGGUUUUUCUGACGUCAACGAGAGCUCUGCCUCGUCUCGCCCCCUUCGUUUUCGGUACGAAUGAAAGACGAAUAACAUGGCCGAUAUAGUCCGUUGCGAUACCGUCUCUGGCUCAUUGAGUUACGAUCUUUAUUCAUCUGCGGAUUUCAAGCAAUUAUAGGAAAUUUAGCUCGCUCGUUGCAUCGUGCACUCGGAAAGAUAGCAAGCAUCUACAUACACAGUCGCAUUCGAUCGCGCAAACAAGCCCGAAAUCGAAUUCAGCGUCUUUCCGCGAGCAAGCAAAGUACCGAGCCAAGUUUCCAUAUUGAGUUUCCGAUUAGAGAAAUCUAACCCUUCCCCGCACCGUUCUAAGAUUUGCUCGGAGUAACGUCGUUAUCGUUUCAUUUCCCGAUGGUUAUAUGUGUACGUCUCUUCUAGUAGCGCGAACAAUCGCUCAACGAUUUCACAGUUUUUACAGUUUCAUCCAGAGAAAUACGGGGCGAUGGGUGAAGCGGGGGACGUUCCAUUGAAAACCCUUAAUCGCAGUAAUUCGUUUACGGCGAGUGACGGCGUAUUUUUUGCCACCAGAUAAGGGUAAUUAAAGUUAGAAACACCGCUGCAUAUCGAGAGGGAGCGGUGAGACGGUUGGGUAGGAUCGCGGGGGUAGGAGGUAGGUGGCGAGAGAACGAAUCUCGGUCUCCUCGGAAGAGGGACGCUUUUUGUCACUUGAAAUAUGUUGAACGAGGGGGAUGCGUUCGGUCGUCGCGUCGCGGGGGACGAGGCGAAAUGAUAAAAUGGCGUCACCGAGACAAAGGGGUCUUAAGAUUUUUACCCUCUAACAAGUUCUAUCUCCUCGACCGAACCCCCCCUCUUCUUUUGUGUCUCGCUUCUUUUAUGCUACGCGGCGCCGAGUCAACUUCUGCUCGAUCGACGAUCUCACACCCCAGAACCGGUUAUCGUUGUUGUCCUCGCUGCUGUUAUUCUUAACGAUUCAUCCAAUUAAUUAUUUAUAAUUAAAUGUUUGUUACGUGGUCACAGAUUUUCUUUAAAAAAUCCUUUUUGUCACCAGUAGUCGAACAUUCUGUAGACAUAGUUAGUACAAUUGUACGUUAUAGUGUAUUUCAUGAAACAUGAAAGGUCGCAUACAAUUUUUUUCUAUCCCGAAUACUUCAGGAGUAAUCGAUUAAUUAUUUCGUCCAUCGUCAAGUACUUCUUAACGAGUGGAAUUAGAAAAAGAUUGCAUAGGAUCUUUAUUGUAUCUGACAACUACAGCUACAUAUUAAUAACAAUAGAGUCUGUUUAACCCACGAUCUUGUAAUGUAUAAGAUCAUGGUUUUACCUGUUAAAUUAGAACUCGAGUACAUGGUGAAUCUCUUGGUCAUGAGAUUACAGAAGCCGGCACUGUGAGUAAGCCUACUGUUCUUUCUUAUACUGUGGCUUAAUCAUUGAUUCUAUAAUUGCUGUAUUCAGUGUAUAAUAAAUAUCAUCAAUUAAUAUGCAGACAUGGUUUAAAGAACGGAGUUAAAUCAAACUUUAGUGGCACGAUCGCGUUAUCCUCUCUGAAAUAAUCUUCAAUGACGAUCGUCCCGACCCUUCGCAUUUUUACUUCUCAUCUUAACCCCGUAUUUAUAGACGACGCCGUGCUGUGUCACAUUUUCGCUCGAGGGUUUUUGCCUGGGCUUUCCCGAGGCUCCUCAAGUGUACGCGUCUCCCCUCGCCGUUCCAUCCGGAGAAAAUCUUUCGCGGCACGAUGAAGGAACAAAAGAACGCUAGCCCCGGAUGAUUUGCCGGAUCGCGGAGACGUGGGAGGGCCCCCGGAACCCAGGGGGACAGGGCGGGUGGCGAGGGGCCGAGGGACGCUGAAAGAAGCCGGGGAUGCCAGCCUACCCGCGCCGCGCCCGGUUCUUCGAAGGGGUUGUAUUUUAAGAUUCACCCUCGGCUAUCUCUACCGCUUUAUCGGCGAGGGGAUACAUUUUUCCUUCGAUUCGCCAAGCCAGCCGGCGGAAGAAUCGAGCCAUCUACCACGCUAUCAUAGUUAAAUAAGCUAAUAGAUACUCCGAAAAAAAUGUUGCAAGUAUUAAUUUUGAUUUGUUAAACAAGAAUUCAUUCAUUUAAUACAUUCCAUCAGAUAUAAAACUCACAUGAAGUAUGAAUAAAAAGAGCGAUUCCUAUGUAAUUAGUUGUCAUGACUAUUCUUAUUGUUUUAUCCGAUAUUAGGAUAUAAAACUGAAAUUGGUCAACAAAUAAUAAUUAACAUGUCGCAGUAUUAUUAUAUAUAGACUGUA
Long non-coding RNA from Ceratina calcarata, 2673 nucleotides. RefSeq lists it as uncharacterized. The record is from RefSeq and is a predicted model, not a curated record. Lineage: Eukaryota; Metazoa; Arthropoda; Insecta; Hymenoptera; Apidae. The transcript is spliced from 3 exons.